UACGGAGGGAGCUAGCGUUGUUCGGAAUUAUUGGGCGUAAAGCGCGUGUAGGCGGCUUUGCAAGUCGGGUGUGAAAGCCCUCAGCUUAACUGAGGAAGUGCGCCCGAAACUGCAGAGCUUGAGUACCGGAGAGGAUGGCGGAAUUCCCCAAGUAGAGGUGAAAUUCGUAGAUAUGGGGAGGAACACCGGUGGCGAAGGCGGCCAUCUGGACGGAUACUGACGCUGAGACGCGAAAGCGUGAGUAGCAAACAGG
This 253-nucleotide ribosomal RNA is filed under the name uncultured bacterium. RNAcentral's name for it is "partial 16S ribosomal RNA". It matches the Rfam family "Bacterial small subunit ribosomal RNA", at positions 524 to 776 of the family's 1533-position model. The record is from RNAcentral.